GAGGGUAUAGCUUAAGUGGUAGAGUGCAUGCUUAGCAUGCACAAAGUACUGGGUUCAAUCCCCAGUACCUCUU
Molecule: transfer RNA, 73 nt
Filed under: Camelus bactrianus (Bactrian camel)
Lineage: Eukaryota; Metazoa; Chordata; Mammalia; Artiodactyla; Camelidae
Also listed under: 2 other names
Rfam family: tRNA
About the family: Transfer RNA (tRNA) molecules are approximately 80 nucleotides in length.
Source: Rfam by way of RNAcentral